GAUUAAGUUAUUAAGGGCGCACGGUGGAUGCCUUGGCACUAGAAGCCGAUGAAGGACGUUACUAACGACGAUAUGCUUUGGGGAGCUGUAAGUAAGCUUUGAUCCAGAGAUUUCCGAAUGGGGAAACCCAGCAUGAGUUAUGUCAUGUUAUCGAUAUGUGAAUACAUAGCAUAUCAGAAGGCACACCCGGAGAACUGAAACAUCUUAGUACCCGGAGGAAGAGAAAGAAAAUUCGAUUCCCUUAGUAGCGGCGAGCGAAACGGGAAGAGCCCAAACCAACAAGCUUGCUUGUUGGGGUUGUAGGACACUCUAUACGGAGUUACAAAGGACGACAUUAGACGAAUCAUCUGGAAAGAUGAAUCAAAGAAGGUAAUAAUCCUGUAGUCGAAAAUGUUGUCUCUCUUGAGUGGAUCCUGAGUACGACGGAGCACGUGGAAUUCCGUCGGAAUCUGGGAGGACCAUCUCCUAAGGCUAAAUACUCUCUAGUGACCGAUAGUGAACCAGUACCGUGAGGGAAAGGUGAAAAGCACCCCGGAAGGGGAGUGAAAUAGAACCUGAAACCGUGUGCUUACAAGUAGUCAGAGCCCGUUAAUGGGUGAUGGCGUGCCUUUUGUAGAAUGAACCGGCGAGUUACGAUUUGAUGCAAGGUUAAGCAGUAAAUGUGGAGCCGUAGCGAAAGCGAGUCUGAAUAGGGCGUUUAGUAUUUGGUCGUAGACCCGAAACCAGGUGAUCUACCCUUGGUCAGGUUGAAGUUCAGGUAACACUGAAUGGAGGACCGAACCGACUUACGUUGAAAAGUGAGCGGAUGAACUGAGGGUAGCGGAGAAAUUCCAAUCGAACCUGGAGAUAGCUGGUUCUCUCCGAAAUAGCUUUAGGGCUAGCCUCAAGUGAUGAUUAUUGGAGGUAGAGCACUGUUUGGACGAGGGGCCCCUCUCGGGUUACCGAAUUCAGACAAACUCCGAAUGCCAAUUAAUUUAACUUGGGAGUCAGAACAUGGGUGAUAAGGUCCGUGUUCGAAAGGGAAACAGCCCAGACCACCAGCUAAGGUCCCAAAAUAUAUGUUAAGUGGAAAAGGAUGUGGCGUUGCCCAGACAACUAGGAUGUUGGCUUAGAAGCAGCCAUCAUUUAAAGAGUGCGUAAUAGCUCACUAGUCGAGUGACACUGCGCCGAAAAUGUACCGGGGCUAAACAUAUUACCGAAGCUGUGGAUUGUCCUUUGGACAAUGGUAGGAGAGCGUUCUAAGGGCGUUGAAGCAUGAUCGUAAGGACAUGUGGAGCGCUUAGAAGUGAGAAUGCCGGUGUGAGUAGCGAAAGACGGGUGAGAAUCCCGUCCACCGAUUGACUAAGGUUUCCAGAGGAAGGCUCGUCCGCUCUGGGUUAGUCGGGUCCUAAGCUGAGGCCGACAGGCGUAGGCGAUGGAUAACAGGUUGAUAUUCCUGUACCACCUAUAAUCGUUUUAAUCGAUGGGGGGACGCAGUAGGAUAGGCGAAGCGUGCGAUUGGAUUGCACGUCUAAGCAGUAAGGCUGAGUAUUAGGCAAAUCCGGUACUCGUUAAGGCUGAGCUGUGAUGGGGAGAAGACAUUGUGUCUUCGAGUCGUUGAUUUCACACUGCCGAGAAAAGCCUCUAGAUAGAAAAUAGGUGCCCGUACCGCAAACCGACACAGGUAGUCAAGAUGAGAAUUCUAAGGUGAGCGAGCGAACUCUCGUUAAGGAACUCGGCAAAAUGACCCCGUAACUUCGGGAGAAGGGGUGCUCUUUAGGGUUAACGCCCAGAAGAGCCGCAGUGAAUAGGCCCAAGCGACUGUUUAUCAAAAACACAGGUCUCUGCUAAACCGUAAGGUGAUGUAUAGGGGCUGACGCCUGCCCGGUGCUGGAAGGUUAAGAGGAGUGGUUAGCUUCUGCGAAGCUACGAAUCGAAGCCCCAGUAAACGGCGGCCGUAACUAUAACGGUCCUAAGGUAGCGAAAUUCCUUGUCGGGUAAGUUCCGACCCGCACGAAAGGCGUAACGAUUUGGGCACUGUCUCAACGAGAGACUCGGUGAAAUCAUAGUACCUGUGAAGAUGCAGGUUACCCGCGACAGGACGGAAAGACCCCGUGGAGCUUUACUGUAGCCUGAUAUUGAAAUUCGGCACAGCUUGUACAGGAUAGGUAGGAGCCUUUGAAACGUGAGCGCUAGCUUACGUGGAGGCGCUGGUGGGAUACUACCCUAGCUGUGUUGGCUUUCUAACCCGCACCACUUAUCGUGGUGGGAGACAGUGUCAGGCGGGCAGUUUGACUGGGGCGGUCGCCUCCUAAAAGGUAACGGAGGCGCUCAAAGGUUCCCUCAGAAUGGUUGGAAAUCAUUCAUAGAGUGUAAAGGCAUAAGGGAGCUUGACUGCGAGACCUACAAGUCGAGCAGGGUCGAAAGACGGACUUAGUGAUCCGGUGGUUCCGCAUGGAAGGGCCAUCGCUCAACGGAUAAAAGCUACCCCGGGGAUAACAGGCUUAUCUCCCCCAAGAGUUCACAUCGACGGGGAGGUUUGGCACCUCGAUGUCGGCUCAUCGCAUCCUGGGGCUGUAGUCGGUCCCAAGGGUUGGGCUGUUCGCCCAUUAAAGCGGUACGCGAGCUGGGUUCAGAACGUCGUGAGACAGUUCGGUCCCUAUCCGUCGUGGGCGUAGGAAAUUUGAGAGGAGCUGUCCUUAGUACGAGAGGACCGGGAUGGACAUACCUCUGGUGUACCAGUUGUCGUGCCAACGGCAUAGCUGGGUAGCUAUGUGUGGACGGGAUAAGUGCUGAAAGCAUCUAAGCAUGAAGCCCCCCUCAAGAUGAGAUUUCCCAACUUCGGUUAUAAGAUCCCUCAAAGAUGAUGAGGUUAAUAGGUUCGAGGUGGAAGCAUGGUGACAUGUGGAGCUGACGAAUACUAAUCGAUCGAAGACUUAAUCAA
This 2923-nucleotide ribosomal RNA is filed under the name Staphylococcus aureus. RNAcentral's name for it is "23S ribosomal RNA". It matches the Rfam family "Bacterial large subunit ribosomal RNA". Lineage: Bacteria; Bacillati; Bacillota; Bacilli; Caryophanales; Staphylococcaceae. The record is from RNAcentral.